Molecule: long non-coding RNA, 2637 nt
Organism: Peromyscus eremicus (cactus mouse)
Lineage: Eukaryota; Metazoa; Chordata; Mammalia; Rodentia; Cricetidae
Exons: 6
Source: RefSeq, a predicted model, not a curated record
CGGCGGAGUGGGCGGGCCUGUCUGAGGCGCCUUAGCGGUUGGCUUGCCGGCCUCGCUGCUGGCGAUUGGCCGCACGCGGCCGGACUCUGCCAUCUCAGGGCGUUCGGUGUGAUCUCAGGGCCUGCGACUGCUUGGGCGGGCCCGCUCUGGAGCCACAUCCGUGCAGGGCGCGGUGGUACACUCACAGCGGCCCAGCACCCGGUAGGCAGAGGCGGGAGGAUGGCCGCACGUUCGAGGCUGAAGUAGGCUGGGCUACAUGGCGAGAUCCUGCCUCAAGAAACAAACCGAAAGGACCUCAUCCUUUCUCCACCGAGCCUCUUUUGAGGCAUUGACACUUGGAUGUGAACUCCUUCCUCUGGACUGAAAUGGCUGCCUCCCAUCUGCAGGGCUAGUCAGUACCUGGUCCGGUCUGAGGCGGCACUACUGCUGCUGCUGCUGCUGGACUCGGAGUCUGAGCUGCUCCGGGGAAGGUUGCAGUCAUUACGGUACACCAAGAAACUCUUCUUCACUGGCUGGUUCCCACUGCUGAAGCCAUUGGCUGGAGAAAAGUGAAAUUCAGAGAAGCGAAGUUCACUGGGCCCUGACCAUUCCCAGCAAAAACUCCUUGAAAUUUCCCAGGCUCCUAUGUCCCCUUCCCACCUUCUCCUAAACCUCUCUAGCCUGUACCUCUUCCUGUCAGAGCCAUCAGUGAUAUAAUGGGCCAGGAACGCUUGUCCCAGGAAAUCCUGUGCCAAGACAGGGAGUCAGCCAGACGGGGAAGGGCACUGAGCCCCAGGCCCACCCGGUGCUGCUGCUGCUGCUCUUGACCAAGAUAACUCCAAAGUGCAGGUGACAGAGGUCCAUUGCCAGAGCCACAGCCCCACGUGUUCUCUGCUUCUUGAUGAUCUCCCAACCAAAUUCUUCCCGGUGCAGCCCACAGCAUCCUCACCUUCUGCAGGUCCCAGGAGGUAGGCAGAGAAGGAAGAACCACAGCCCUGGAGCCGCUUACUGGGGUCCGACUUGGAGAAGGUGUCCAGGUCUAGCAGAUUCCUAGAGAAAAGCAACCAACAGAUGGACAGAGGGCUAGCUCAUUCUGCAGCCCACUACCUUAACAGUCCUAAACUGGGCACCCGGAAGAGACAUGGGAUUCAAAUCGUACUCCCUCCCUAUUACUAUUCCCAGUGAGUGUUGGGGUCCACACUCCGCAUUCGGGACGGUACCAGAAAUCUCUGCCAAUUGGCUCCAUAUGUGCUCACACUGUCUCCAAGGACCAAGGAGGCGGCUCGUCCCAGAACUUUGGCCCCUUGUGGCCCAGCUCUUAAGGAAUCCCUGCAGCCCACCUUUUGAAUUGGUAGGCUUGAGCCCGCUUUUAUAGGGUGGGGCUGCCCAGGGAGACACCCCCCCCAUUCCUGCCAGUGAUAAUGACUCCCGCCUUCAGCCUCGGUUCUCUUGUCCCUGCUUCUGGUGGUCCCCUCUGUGGUCUAGCCCCCUGCCCGCCCCGAGCCCCGCAGCCCAUUGCCAGUACUUAAACCCUCCCUAGCGCGGCCCGCUCACCGGCACGACACAGUAAUUUCAAUCUUGGUGGCCGGGACGCUGCGCUCCGAGGCUCCGCUGAGAGACAUGGCUAGUCCAGUGGCCAAAGCCGCGGUGGGCGAUGGGGGGCUGCAAGACCCCGGCCGCCUGAGCUAGGGGCGGCGGCGAGGCCGGCCCAUGUGCCAAGGCAGCGGUGCUCUCCAGCCCUGUGUGCGCUCCGCUGCUCGCGCCCUGACAGUGGCCGCUGGCAGCAGCGGCUCCAGAUGGCAGCACAGCCCCGCCCGGCCCUGCGGGCGGCCCCCGCCCCAUUGGAGCAGCCUGGAGCUGGUUGGGAACCUCAUCCAGACCCCAACUCUGACCUACACUUCCUCUGGAGCCACCACCGGGGCACUGAAAACCUCAGCACUAUCCAUGGUUCUGAAACAUUUGGGGUGGGAGUUGGUAGACUCCGAUCCCUAAGGGGCUCUCACCAUCUCUUCCUUUCCUCUUCCUGGGCCACCUUUGCCUCUGGACAGGAAGCUACAUUUUACCCUUAAUAACUGUGUGACCUUGAACAAGUUACUCAAUAUUAGUGGUUAAGGCCCUAAUAGCAGCUACUGGGGUAUUUUAAACAGGCUUAGUGACCUCUGGGUAUUGACACUGAUGAUGGCCUGUCAGAUAAGGACUCUGGGGACAUAGUUUAUUGUGCAGCACUUGUCUACUGUAUGCAAAGCCCUGGUUUCUAGCCCCAGCACAGGUGUGAGGGGAUCAGAGAAUGGUGAACUCUAUGAAACCCUUGAUGCCUUUGAAACUUGACACUCAUAAAGCAGAUUCCCUCCCAUGUAUGGCCACUGCUGCCUCCACAGCCCAGAAGCCUGUCCCUCUACUAUUAAUUCAGAUCUUCCAUCCCACGACGUUGUUGCUUCAGAACCUGCUAAAGAUGCAAGUCCACACCCUGAGCCAGUGAGGAGCCCCAGAACCUGCACAGAUGAAUAGCAGCUGUCACCAAGCCCACCUAGGCCUGUUGACCCCCACUCCCACCUCGGUCUUACAAAUUCACAUGCCACCCUUUAUGGCUUGAAUUGACCGAUGGGGGCUGGGAAUUUGGUCUAUCAUACACAAGGCCUUGGUUUCUUUCCUUAGCAC